GUCAGCAGCCGCGGUAAUACCGGCGGCUCGAGUGGUGGCCACUUUAUUGGGCUUAAAGCGUUCGUAGCUGGGUUAUUAAGUCCCUUGGGAAAUCCGACAGCUUAACUGUCGGGCGUCUAAGAGAUACUGGUAAUCUUGGAACCGGGAGAGGUGAGGGGGUACUUCGGGGGUAGGAGUGAAAUCCUGUAAUCCUCGAGGGACCACCUGUGGCGAAGGCGCCUCACCAGAACGGCUUCGACAGUGAGGGACGAAAGCUGGGGGAGCAAACCGGAUUAGAUACCCGGGUAGUCCCAGCCGUAAACGAUGUGCGUUAGGUGUAUCGGUGACCACGAGUCACCGAGGUGCCGAAGGGAAACCGUGAAACGUACCGCCUGGGAAGUACGGUCGCAAGGCUGAAACUUAAGGAAUUGGCGGGGGAGCACCACAACAGGUGGAGCCUGCCGGUUUAAUUGGACUCAACGCCGGAAAUCUCACCGGAUAAGACAGCAGAAUGAUUGCCGGGCUGAAGACUCUGCGUGACUAGCUGAGGAGUGGUGCAUGG
Molecule: ribosomal RNA, 541 nt
Filed under: uncultured archaeon
Lineage: Archaea
Description: bacterial SSU rRNA
Rfam family: Archaeal small subunit ribosomal RNA
Source: RNAcentral